UACAGAGGGGGCAAGCGUUGUUCGGAAUCACUGGGCGUAAAGCGCACGUAGGCGGAUUGUUAAGUCGGGGGUGAAAUCCUGGAGCUCAACUCCAGAACUGCCUUCGAUACUGGCGAUCUUGAGUCCGGGAGAGGUGAGUGGAACUCCGAGUGUAGAGGUGAAAUUCGUAGAUAUUCGGAAGAACACCAGUGGCGAAGGCGGCUCACUGGCCCGGUACUGACGCUGAGGUGCGAAAGCGUGGGGAGCAAACAGG
RNAcentral lists this ribosomal RNA (253 nucleotides) under uncultured bacterium. RNAcentral's name for it is "partial 16S ribosomal RNA". It matches the Rfam family "Bacterial small subunit ribosomal RNA", at positions 524 to 776 of the family's 1533-position model. The record is from RNAcentral.